Molecule: long non-coding RNA, 806 nt
Organism: Phascolarctos cinereus (koala)
Lineage: Eukaryota; Metazoa; Chordata; Mammalia; Diprotodontia; Phascolarctidae
Source: RefSeq, a predicted model, not a curated record
GGCGGCACUCACCGCUGCAGCACCACGACGACGGGGAGCCGUUGGGGAACUUGGCCGAAUCCGGGACGAUGCAGACGCUGGAGCUGAGGCCAAGUCACAUUCUGCAAGGGUGUCAUUGUACACGAUGAGGCUGGGCCCUCUCUGGAAAUGGCUGUCAAAGUAGGAAGCUAAUCCCAUGAGGGUGUCUUGGACAGUGCCAGAAAUGUAGCUGCUUUGGGGUAAAUAACCCCACUUUCUUCAGGUGGUCCUCAUAUGGUAAGAACCUCAGCCUCCUUUCCAUCCUACUUGCCCUCUCCUCUGGAUCCUCUCCAGCUUAUCAAUAUCCUUUUUCAAAGUUGGUGCCCAAGACACAGGUCUUCUACAGAAAGAUUCACUUUCCUGUAAUGCUGUGGACCCACAGUGAGUACACAGAAAGUAGGAAUUCUGAAAGUAUGAACCGUGUGGAGGACAGAGCAACUUCCAAGGAGGUGGCAGAAAUGAGGAAGGUGAGCCAGCUGCAAUAGCUGGAGGCCACUCAAGACUCCUGGCCAGAAGUGAUUGAGGCAAGCUGGAAGUAACAGAAUGGCCUGAACCUCAGGGAGGAGUCAAUGGGCAGCUCACAAGGAAUGGGGCAGCCUAGGAGCAGUGAGUGCACUUGGGUUACUGGAACUUUUCUUUGUUGGUGUUGUGAGUCUCCUGAAGGGACUGUGACCCAAACCACAGAGGAAGUGGCAGGAAUGAUGGGAUGCUUCACAUAAGAGGUAUUACUUGUAAUCAUUCCGUUUCUGUAUUCCCUCAUACCUUGUAAUAAAGUUUCUUUAAAUUGA